GAUGAACGCUGGCGGCGUGCCUAAUACAUGCAAGUCGAGCGAACGGACGAGAAGCUUGCUUCUCUGAUGUUAGCGGCGGACGGGUGAGUAACACGUGGAUAACCUACCUAUAAGACUGGGAUAACUUCGGGAAACCGGAGCUAAUACCGGAUAAUAUUUUGAACCGCAUGGUUCAAAAGUAAAAGACGGUCUUGCUGUCACUUAUAGAUGGAUCCGCGCUGCAUUAGCUAGUUGGUAAGGUAACGGCUUACCAAGGCAACGAUGCAUAGCCGACCUGAGAGGGUGAUCGGCCACACUGGAACUGAGACACGGUCCAGACUCCUACGGGAGGCAGCAGUAGGGAAUCUUCCGCAAUGGGCGAAAGCCUGACGGAGCAACGCCGCGUGAGUGAUGAAGGUCUUCGGAUCGUAAAACUCUGUUAUUAGGGAAGAAUAUAUGUGUAAGUAACUGUGCACAUCUUGACGGUACCUAAUCAGAAAGCCACGGCUAACUAUGUGCCAGCAGCCGCGGUAAUACGUAGGUGGCAAGCGUUAUCCGGAAUUAUUGGGCGUAAAGCGCGCGUAGGCGGUUUUUUAAGUCUGAUGUGAAAGCCCACGGCUCAACCGUGGAGGGUCAUUGGAAACUGGAAAACUUGAGUGCAGAAGAGGAAAGUGGAAUUCCAUGUGUAGCGGUGAAAUGCGCAGAGAUAUGGAGGAACACCAGUGGCGAAGGCGACUUUCUGGUCUGUAACUGACGCUGAUGUGCGAAAGCGUGGGGAUCAAACAGGAUUAGAUACCCUGGUAGUCCACGCCGUAAACGAUGAGUGCUAAGUGUUAGGGGGUUUCCGCCCCUUAGUGCUGCAGCUAACGCAUUAAGCACUCCGCCUGGGGAGUACGACCGCAAGGUUGAAACUCAAAGGAAUUGACGGGGACCCGCACAAGCGGUGGAGCAUGUGGUUUAAUUCGAAGCAACGCGAAGAACCUUACCAAAUCUUGACAUCCUUUGACAACUCUAGAGAUAGAGCCUUCCCCUUCGGGGGACAAAGUGACAGGUGGUGCAUGGUUGUCGUCAGCUCGUGUCGUGAGAUGUUGGGUUAAGUCCCGCAACGAGCGCAACCCUUAAGCUUAGUUGCCAUCAUUAAGUUGGGCACUCUAAGUUGACUGCCGGUGACAAACCGGAGGAAGGUGGGGAUGACGUCAAAUCAUCAUGCCCCUUAUGAUUUGGGCUACACACGUGCUACAAUGGACAAUACAAAGGGCAGCGAAACCGCGAGGUCAAGCAAAUCCCAUAAAGUUGUUCUCAGUUCGGAUUGUAGUCUGCAACUCGACUACAUGAAGCUGGAAUCGCUAGUAAUCGUAGAUCAGCAUGCUACGGUGAAUACGUUCCCGGGUCU
RNAcentral lists this ribosomal RNA (1372 nucleotides) under uncultured bacterium. Its description in RNAcentral is "bacterial SSU rRNA". It matches the Rfam family "Bacterial small subunit ribosomal RNA", at positions 28 to 1381 of the family's 1533-position model. The record is from RNAcentral.